CUUCCAACUCUCACUGAGACUAUUUUUUAUAGACCAAAAGGAAAACCCUACUUUUCAAGAACAUCUAUGUCCCUUAUAAUUUUUCUGUUUCAGGAUUUUUUUUUUUUUCUUCUGGAGACAUGGUCAUUUGACUUGAAAAUGAGAAAAGGCUUGAAGUUCUUGAGGGCACAAAGACAACAGAGCCGACACACCUAUCUUCCAGCUCUGAAGAUUCAAGUCCAUUGACUGCUGUUCCUUGGACUGUCUUGUUUUCACUGGCUAAGGAGGGAUAGAGACUGUGGCCUUAUAUGAAAGCCAGUGAAUGUCCUUAUGUUAGGCAUGAAGAAAUUUCCUUUACAUCAAGAUUCUUUGGAUCAUCAGCUUUGAGAAUAUAGCAUAAGUCAUUGUUUCAGAAGGUAUAGGUUUGCAGAAUGCUAUUUCUGUGGCUUCGUGAAUAGCUGAGAGGAUGUCAUUCUUGAUGGCAUCUAAACUCAUUUUUAAAAAAGUCUUCAUUUUUUUCACUCCCUUUGUCAGAACAGUAGCUUUUAAUCUGGUUUUCGAUGUAAUUUUUUACAAAUGAUUGAGGAUUAUGGAGGUACUGCCAGUAGUUAUUAAAAUUUUCCUCUUGUGCCAGAGAGAUGAGAAUGUGUUUCUCCAGGUUAGACCUGUUUCCACUGAAUGCUGGGCAGGUGGCUCGCAUGUCCCCAGCAAUUUGGGGGGCCAUUUUUUUCCUUAUGGUGUUGGAGACAGCAGGGGUGAGUUUGUUCCACAGGAAAUCGACAAAUGUUUUGAUUGAGGUUGCUCCUUGACAGGAGAUCUUAAAACUCAUGAAGAAAUCAUCUUUCUUGCUUUCCAGAUAGUUGGCAGGAUCAUUUGCUCUCUUGAAUGCCUUGUGCAUCUCCUUAAACUUCACCGAUGCUCUUUGGAAUAAACACAAUGACAAAUCUAUUUCAUAGUUUCUUGUAAAUGUGUAUCUUUCCUGAGUGGGUGCAGAUUUCACCUCCUCAUCUAUUAUUCUCAGGAUUUCAUGGAAAUAGCUUGGAUCGUAAUCAUGCUUUUGCCUACAGAUAUUGUUAAUCGUCUCAUUAAAUUUUGAAAGAAUGCAGUCAGUAGUCAUAUGUAUGGACGCUUCAUCCUGGGCCUCUAAUGUUAUUGUAAUCAAACCGAAAUAUGUCUUGUUCAUCUUUACAUGUUCAGCAAACUUGGUAUGAAAAUUUCCUCCAGAUUUUUUCUUCAGUCUGUUUGCUAUAUCUUUGUCCUUUUUGAAAUAAUCCAAAAGGAUGUUUUCAGCAUCCACUUCAAUCCCAGGCUCUAUGACUGGAGGGAGAGUCGAGGACACAUCAUAGACCCAUUUUUUCCAAAGUGGGUUGAAUUUCUUACGUAGCUCUUCCUCACUGCAUUCUAAGCCUUUUAUAAAUAAAGCCAAAUUUCGGCUUUUUUCCAAUAAUUCCUUUUCAUAACCUGAUUUUUUGUUGUCCAGGUUUUCUUGAUUUUUUUUUUAAAGCAAAUAAAUUCUUUGGCUUUUCUUUGGCUGUCUGAAAUUAGUGACUCUUUAAGGAUCAUUAGCUUAUUUUCAAAAUUUCCCUUCCAUUGAACCAGCACUUCACUAUCUGGAUCUUCAUUGAAAUAUUUUUCAAGUUCUUGCUUGAUGGCCUCAUACUUGUCUGUAACGGGAGCCGCAAGUGUGUGUGCUUCAAGUGUGUGGAUUUUUCCAUUCUGAAUCUGGUUGAUCAGCUGGUCCUGCAGGCUCAGCACAUGACUCCUCAGCUCCCACGUCCAUUUGUUAUACAUGGUUUCCAGUUUGCUCAUAGCUGUAACCUCUCGAAACCUUUCGGGUAUUCCUGAAGCUGAAAACAAAGUUCUCAUUCAGCAGGGCUUUCCACAGAUCCUGAACUCGGAAUUUGACAUCUGAUAUCUUCAUGAUGCUUCCCCUUGCCUCCUGUUUGGCAGUUGCAAGGAUCCUGCUUUUCAGUUCCUGGGCAUUGUGGCUGUAGCGCGGAUUGGGAGGGGCCAUUGGGGGGUUGCCAUCCCAGAGGUGAGCGAAGUAGUAGACGUGAGUAUUGACAUCAAACUUAAUGACGUCACUGAAGCGGUCGACAUCAGAGCACUGUUCCUCCUCAGCUGCUGUGGCUGCCAUUUCAUCCAGUCUCUGCUCUAGCCGCCUCCGUCCUUCCAUGGUUUGGUCUUUAGCUGUAACUUCGCCCACAUUCUGAUGGACAAAGAGGCAGCUGGGAGAGAUUUUUACUUGUUUCAUCCUCAGGAAGGCUUGGACAGCUAUUUGUAGAAUAUCUUGCAUUUCCGAUGGAUUUUCCCCAAAAAUAUUGAUCACAGUUAAGUUGCCAAGGCCGAUGACAAAAGUUGCCAACUCAUUGUCGUGAUUCUGGGACUUGUUGCUGAGUUCAGGUGCCCGAAGGCCUUCCGUGUCCACAACAAGAAGAAAGUCAAAGCCAAGUUCGUCUGUGAACGUCUCCUCCACCUUCAGGAGCUGCAUGUAAGCCCCCCGGGUACACCUCCCAGCACUGACAGUGAACUGCAGCCCAAACAUUGCAUUCAGUAGGGUGGACUUCCCUGAGCUCUGCAGACCAAGGAUAGAGAGAACAAAGAGCCGUUUGUCUCCAAGUUUCUCAGAGACCUUGUCAAAAACAGCUGCCACCCACCUCAGGGGCACAUAUGAAGCAUCGCCAUCCAUCAGCUCAAUGGGAACACCAGAUAGCAUCAGAUCUGCGGCCAUGUGGGGAAGGGAGAGAAACGAGACAUCUUUUGUGGAGAAACCUUCUUCAAGAGCUUCGUAGAUCUGGCCAAGUUCUCUGAGAAUCUGCUCAACUCCCAAGGUACAGUCACUAAUCUUUCUGGAGAUAGCUUCCAACUCAUUUUGCAGGCCUUUCAGGGAGCUGCUCUUUUGUGCCUCUCGCUUUUUUUGGACCCGUGACCACAGUUGCUCUUUCUUCUCAUUUAGUUUCUCCAAGUGUCCUGCAGUCAGGUUGUCUAAAAACACACUCAGCCAUUGCAAGAAGUAGAGUUUGGUGUGAGUUUCGGAAUGUUUUUGGAGAAUUCCGAGGACAGAAUGCAUUAAGUCAUUGAGAGGAAAGGCUUUUCUCAACUGUCGAAGUCGUAUCAUUUGUUUGUCUGUCUCGAUGUCACUCUUGUGCUGUUCAAUGCUCCGAUUCCCCUUUUCUCUCAGGUGAUAGAGUUCUUUGUCUUUUUUGCACCAAAGUUGCCACAGUUCUCCCUGAAGGGGCAGUAGGUUUUCCUUCAUCUGAGCUAUUUCCAUGUCUUCCAGCAGGGCCAUUAGAGCCUCUGCCUUGGUUUUGGCUUCCUUGCAGUCUUCCUGGUCUUCAUCAAUAAGCAUUCCUUGCUUGCGAGCAACUUGAGCACAGUUUUCCAAGCUGAGAGCAGUGUCAGAGGGUUUUAGCAACCCUCUGAUUGUAGUUGCGAGCUCCUCUAUGAAUUCUGCCUCAUUUCUGUUCCUGAUCCCAAUUCUCACUCUCGGGCCAGAGGUAUUGGACAUGGCUUUUUCCUUAUCGUCAAGCAAACAGAUUAAAGGUUUUGGCGACUGACACAGCGCCCGGACAACUUUUCGGCUUUCUUGGUUGUCAUCAGACGUUGACAUGAGGACCACAAUGAGAGAGGAGACCUCCUGCAAAAAGGUGAGUUGCUGUUUGUGUUCCUUCGCAUCUCCACGGAGAUUGGUGAAGGUCAAGCAGUUGUCAAACCUGUCCUCAUCUCCCGCCCCAGGACAGAACCAGGUGACUUCCACCACACCUGCCAUCAAGAGACAGUCCCUGCUGCUCCCUUUGCAGUGUCGGUGAAAAAAGACAUCGUGUUUCCGUUGACUGAGCAGAGAGUUCAUGAUCUGAGAUUUGGAGGCAGAGAAGCCCUUUCCGACUCUGAUAAAGGACACAAUGGGGGUAGAGACUCGA
RNAcentral lists this long non-coding RNA (3899 nucleotides) under Sus scrofa (pig). RNAcentral's name for it is "lncRNA (ENSSSCG00035051460.1)". The record is from RNAcentral. Lineage: Eukaryota; Metazoa; Chordata; Mammalia; Artiodactyla; Suidae.